UACUAUUAUAGUUACAAAAAACACAAGUAACAUAUGGUAAAUAACCCGGACAAAAAUUUGUUGUGUCAUUUUAAUACAAAAUAAAUAUAUGAUUUACUACCUGAUUUAAAUGUGUAGUUCAAUAAGAUACAAGAGCUAAUCACAAUAUAUACAAAUUGAAAUAUUGAAUAAAAAAUUAUGAUAAAACCAAGAAAUGCAAAGUUUACCUCAUUGAGUUAUAAGCUAAAUACCUCUAUUGUUGAAGAGGAGGGAAGAAUAUAACCAAAUAUGUAAG
RNAcentral lists this long non-coding RNA (274 nucleotides) under Daucus carota (carrot). RNAcentral's name for it is "long non-coding RNA (DCAR_LNC002400)". The record is from RNAcentral. Lineage: Eukaryota; Viridiplantae; Streptophyta; Magnoliopsida; Apiales; Apiaceae.